AACGAACGCUGGCGGCAUGCCUAACACAUGCAAGUCGAACGAGAUCCUUCGGGGUCUAGUGGCGCACGGGUGCGUAACGCGUGGGAAUCUGCCUUGGGGUUCGGAAUAACUCCCCGAAAGGGGUGCUAAUACCGGAUGAUGUCGAAAGACCAAAGAUUUAUCGCCCUGAGAUGAGCCCGCGUAGGAUUAGCUAGUUGGUGUGGUAAAGGCGCACCAAGGCGACGAUCCUUAGCUGGUCUGAGAGGAUGAUCAGCCACACUGGGACUGAGACACGGCCCAGACUCCUACGGGAGGCAGCAGUGGGGAAUAUUGGACAAUGGGCGAAAGCCUGAUCCAGCAAUGCCGCGUGAGUGAUGAAGGCCUUAGGGUUGUAAAGCUCUUUUACCCGGGAAGAUAA
This 397-nucleotide ribosomal RNA is filed under the name uncultured Sphingomonas sp. RNAcentral's name for it is "bacterial SSU rRNA". It matches the Rfam family "Bacterial small subunit ribosomal RNA", at positions 29 to 451 of the family's 1533-position model. The record is from RNAcentral. Lineage: Bacteria; Pseudomonadati; Pseudomonadota; Alphaproteobacteria; Sphingomonadales; Sphingomonadaceae.